Lontra canadensis (Northern American river otter) is the source of this 138-nucleotide long non-coding RNA. RefSeq lists it as uncharacterized. The transcript is spliced from 2 exons. NCBI's taxonomy places the organism in Eukaryota, Metazoa, Chordata, Mammalia, Carnivora, Mustelidae. The record is from RefSeq and is a predicted model, not a curated record.
UAAAAUCUUAAAAAGAAAUAACAUAGAAGAAAGUUUGUGUGACCUUGGGUUUUUAUGUUAAACAUACAGGUAGCUCGUAUGUAUGUAUGUUAAAAAUACAGGUAUUUUUGAGAUACACACUAAAAGCACAAUCCAAGA